This 589-nucleotide ribosomal RNA is filed under the name uncultured bacterium. RNAcentral's name for it is "bacterial SSU rRNA". It matches the Rfam family "Bacterial small subunit ribosomal RNA", at positions 338 to 945 of the family's 1533-position model. The record is from RNAcentral.
CCUACGGGAGGCAGCAGUGAGGAAUUUUCCGCAGUGGGCGAAAGCCUGACGGAGCAAUACCGCGUGAGGGAUGAAGGAUUUUGGUCUGUAAACCUCUUUUCUCAAGAAAGAAGUUCUGACGGUACUUGAGGAAUAAGCAUCGGCUAACUCCGUGCCAGCAGCCGCGGUAAUACGGGGGAUGCAAGCGUUAUCCGGAAUGAUUGGGCGUAAAGCGCCUGUAGGUUGUUUAUUAAGUCCGUUGUUAAAGCCUAGGGCUCAACCCUAGAAAAGCAAUGGAAACUAGUAGACUAGAGUAUGGCAGGGGUAGAGGGAAUUUCUAGUGUAGCGGUGAAAUGCGUAGAUAUUAGAAAGAACACCGGUGGCGAAAGCGCUCUACUGGACCAUUACUGACACUCAGAGGCGAAAGCUAGGGUAGCAAAAGGGAUUAGAUACCCCUGUAGUCCUAGCCGUAAACGAUGGAUACUAGAUGUUGUGCAUUAUGUACAGUAUCGUAGCUAACGCGUUAAGUAUCCCGCCUGGGGAGUACGCUCGCAAGGGUGAAACUCAAAUGAAUUGACGGCUGAAGAGUGCGAGNGACGACGAGGAGAGG